Molecule: ribosomal RNA, 482 nt
Filed under: uncultured bacterium
Lineage: Bacteria
Description: bacterial SSU rRNA
Rfam family: Bacterial small subunit ribosomal RNA
Source: RNAcentral
UUGAACGCUGGCGGAAUGCUUUACACAUGCAAGUCGAACGGCAGCACGGGGGCAACCCUGGUGGCGAGUGGCGAACGGGUGAGUAAUACAUAGGAACAUACCCAGUAAUGGGGGAUAACGCCGAGAAAUCGGUGCUAAUACCGCAUACGCCCUACGGGGGAAAGCGGGGGAUCUUCGGACCUCGCGUUAUUGGAUUGGCCUAUGUCUGAUUAGCUAGUUGGUGAGGUAAAGGCUCACCAAGGCUUCGAUCAGUAGCUGGUCUGAGAGGAUGAUCAGCCACACUGGAACUGAGACACGGUCCAGACUCCUACGGGAGGCAGCAGUGGGGAAUUUUGGACAAUGGGCGAAAGCCUGAUCCAGCCAUUCCGCGUGAGUGAAGAAGGCCUUCGGGUUGUAAAGCUCUUUCGGCAGGAACGAAACGGUGAGCUCUAACAUAGCUUGCUAAUGACGGUACCUGAAGAAGAAGCACCGGCUAACUACGU